This is a long non-coding RNA of Centruroides sculpturatus (bark scorpion), 638 nucleotides long. RefSeq lists it as uncharacterized. The record is from RefSeq and is a predicted model, not a curated record. The transcript is spliced from 2 exons. Lineage: Eukaryota; Metazoa; Arthropoda; Arachnida; Scorpiones; Buthidae.
AGGUAACAGUGCAAGUCCUUAAUCAACUUAUUGCAAAGAUACAUGAACAGCUUCCUGGAUUAGAAUCAAAUGAAGAAACAGACCAAAUCAAUAAGCAUUUCCAAAACACACUGGAACAUUUACGAAAUCGUAUGGAUGCACCAGAAAAUGAUGGACCAUCAUAUACUGGAUUAGUAUUAUAAAACUUUAUUUAUAAUUUAAGAAUUCUUGUUGAUUUGGAAGAUUUGAAAGAGAAAUUGAAUGAAUUAAUUUUGGCAAGCUUUUUAAUUGGAAUUUGUUUUUUUUAUACAUAUAAUUUACACUGAAAUUGUACAAAAUAUAUUUAACAUUAAUAAUGUAUAAGAAAAUAACAAAGAAUAAUGUUAUGUAUGAUACUUUGUAUUCUCAUUGAAAAAGAAUUAAGGCUUAGUUUGUACAGUAAAACUAUUGUUUUUUUUUAUUUAAUUUAGUCUUAUAUCAUUAAAUCAAGAAUAUGGAAUAAGUGCACUAAGAUUCUUGAAGCAAAUGAACAAUGGUAUUUUGCAGAAACAAUUUUGAAAAUAUUUUCAGAAGAUCAUUUCUGAAAAUAAAUUGUUGGAGAUUGUAUAAAUUUCAAUAUGAUUAUUGUAAUUGGCUGAUAAAUAAACUGCUUGUCUAUA